AUCGACGUUUCAGCCCCAAUCUGGGCUUUCCUCAGGAUCAGAGAAACAAAAAAUACUUUGUUUCUCUGAUCCUGAGGAAAGCCCAGAUUGGGGCUGAAACGUC
This is a non-coding RNA of Pelobates cultripes (western spadefoot toad), 103 nucleotides long. NCBI's taxonomy places the organism in Eukaryota, Metazoa, Chordata, Amphibia, Anura, Pelobatidae. The record is from the annotation of a GenBank genome assembly.